This 233-nucleotide long non-coding RNA is filed under the name Vitis vinifera (wine grape). RNAcentral describes it as "long non-coding RNA (VVIN_LNC007340)". Lineage: Eukaryota; Viridiplantae; Streptophyta; Magnoliopsida; Vitales; Vitaceae. The record is from RNAcentral.
CUAUACAAAAACUCAGAGUUAGUAAAUAUAAUGUUAGAGGAAUUUAGUAAUCCAACAUUACUAGAUGAACAAGUGGAUCAAGAAAACUUUGUUAAUAUAAUGUGUAACAACUAUACAGAUGACCAAAUAAUAGAACAACUCUAUAAAACCAAUUUAAUCAAAAAACUUAUAGAUAUAGAAAUGAUAAAUCAAUUUACUAUUCAACCAAAAGUUAACGAAAACAUAGAAAUAAU